Molecule: long non-coding RNA, 3802 nt
Organism: Antechinus flavipes (yellow-footed antechinus)
Lineage: Eukaryota; Metazoa; Chordata; Mammalia; Dasyuromorphia; Dasyuridae
Exons: 2
Source: RefSeq, a predicted model, not a curated record
AUCCGGGGCUCCGGUCGCCGGCCCCCGCCCUCGAGACGGGCAGGCAGACAGACCACUCCCCCCGCCCAGACCGAUGGUCGGACUCCCCCUCCCUGACGGAUGGACAGACCCCUUCCCCCUGUACAGACCUCCUCCUUCCCGCGCGGACGAGUGGAGCCCCCCCUCCCCCGACUCAGGGACAGCUGGAUCCCCCCUCACGGACAGGCGAACAGAUACCCCUCCCCCCCGACAGCUAGACAGACCCUCCUGCUCUCACGAACAGGCGGACAGUCGCCCUCCCCAAAGGUCCCCUAAGGCAGACCCUCCUCCGGCCCGCAGGGACAGGCAGACGGGCAGGAAGAUGCACCCCCUCCCCCCGCCGCUGACACGAUCCCCUUCAGAUCGCAGCAGACAGGUCUCCCCCUUCUAUCUCGGAGUGCGCACAGACCCCUCCCCCGCCACAGUCACCCUUAAGCUCCCAGACAGCCCCCCCUCCCCCCAGGACAAACGCUGGCGUCCCUCCUGAUCGCGCAGACCGCCCCCCCCACCGCCCCCAGAGCGCUCCGCAGCCCCCCGAGCGCCGAGGCGGCCUCCCCGGACCCCCGCCCCCGCAGACCCACCGGAGCGCACCCAGACGGACGCGCCGACGGACCAACAGACGGAACGCCGCCCCGGCCGCGCGGGCUCAGCCCCCGGCGCCUCCGGCUGCCCGGCCCGGGCUGAGCGAGCCGCAGCUUCCCCGCCGCCGCCGCCGCCUCCCGCCCGCCCUCAGCCGCGCUCCCAGCCUCCCCGCCUCGGACUGAUGAGGUAACUGCAGGCCGCCCCCUCCUCCAGACAGCUCAGGGGUCACCCAAAGGUGACUCCGCCUUUGAACCCCGGCGCCCGGUUCCGGCAGCAGCCUCUCCGGUCCCCAACCCCACCGCCUUCCCUCGCGGCCCCUCCCCUGCGCCCCUCCCCCUCCCGCCGGAUGGCCCAGCCCCGGAUUCAGAAGGAGCUCCCCAGCUCCGCUCCCCGCGCUCUGCCUCGGCGCCCCCUCCCGCUCAUUUCGGUCUCAGCCCCUCUCGCUCCUUUGAUGACUCCCCCUUCCCCGCCCCCUCCCCCGCUCGCAGCCUCCUCCCACUGGCCACUUGAAAGCGGAGCUGAGAAUCCGCCGGUUUCGCUGGGAAGCUGGGCCCCGGGGGGGUUGGGGGGGUCCGGAAGCCAGAGACCCCCAGCUCCCCUUGUCCCCCCGCGCCAAACACUCGGAUGAGUAACUCCAAGGCGCGAGCUCCCGGGGGCCUGCGCAGCGCGGCCGAGGGAGGCCCGAGGGAGCCCGGGGGGCUGUCGGGCCGGGGUGGAGCUGCCUGCGCCCGGAGCCUUCUCCUGUUUCCGCGCCGUCCCCUCUGCCGGCAGGCCCUUCCCCAGCAGGGCUCCCUCGCACCCCACCCUGGCUCGUUCCCGCCCUGCGCUCCGGCUGCGGCUGCGGCGCCCUCCCCCCGCCCCCGCCCCCGCCCCCAGGCCCAGAGCAUCAGGGAGGCUCCCGAAAUCCCCCUCUUUUUACAAAAGGAGAAACUAAGGCAGGAAAGGGAAAGUGACUGUCCAAAGUCACAGGUAAUAAGGCGGGACCAGGGUCGCAUCUGAGAUCGGGGAAUCACAAGCUUAGAGCUGGAAGGAAGCUCAAUUCUCAUUUUCAGAAAAGGAAACUGAGGCCCGAAGCUACGUCCCGGGGUCGCCCAGCUAAUAAGGGUCAAAGGCAGACUCCAAGGGGGGGGUCUUCCUCACCCACACUGAACUGAAGAACUGGGACAAGGGGCUGCGGCCGCUCUCCUGCGGAGGAAGAUGCGGCGUUGGAGAGCUCUUAGGGACCUUGGAGAGCUCAAGCGGCCCCGCCCAGCGCGGAGGGGUCGUGCCUUGUCCGGGUCACUCCAACAAAGGAGCAGAGCCAGUAGCAGGAGCCAGGCUUUCCCGUGGGCAGGCGCCCCUCCCUCUCUCCAGAGGGGGAGCCCCCCGCCCCCCCUGCAGGAAGCUGCAGGUCCUUUUCCCUCCGGGAUUGUGGCCCUCCUGCUCCGGUUUGCCCCCUCCCCCCUUUGUCCCUGGGGACAAAUCUCCCUUUUGGGGAACUUAGGAAAGUGAUUGCUCCUCGAGUCAGCGGGCUAACAGAGGCAGCCCCCCGAAGCUUUCUGCUCCAUCCGCUUCCCCUGCUACUUCCUUGGUGGGUCUGGUCCCGGAAUUCUACCCUUCCCCCUGCCAAGGCCUCUUGGAGGAGAGGAGAGGAGAAAAUCUGGGGAGAAAGGACUGGGUGUUGGAGGGGCCACGUCAGCACAGGCCCCCAGAACGGCAGAGAAGGUGGGAUUCUGGGAACGACAGAGGGACAAGGGGCUAUCUCUUGGCCCAGCCCAGAGAUUCACAAAAAAAGUCCUCCAGCUUCUAGGACUGAGCCGGAACAAGGGCUGCUGGGAAAGCGGUCCUAAAGGGCUGGGGGGGAGCGGGCCCCCUCCCUCUGGCCUGGCUUUUGUGCAGGAACGAUGACAGAUCAGCUGCUGUGGGCUCCCAUGAUGCCGUGGAGACAGCCCCGAGGGCUGCAGGGAGCCUCGAGGGGCCACGUAAUCCACUCCAGCCCCCAGCCCCAGGCAAGAACCCCGACUCUGAGCUCUCCCCGCCCUCCCCCCUCUGGCAUGCAGCUGGGGGACCGAGUCCUUCGGGUCAGGAGCAUCUCCCAAGUGGAACCCGGCCUGCUGAGCUGCUCCUACCCCUGGUCUCCUGCCUGAACAGGGCCCCAGAUAACGGGCACCCAAGAGUCAUUUAAGCCCGCCCCCUGAUUUCCCGGUCCCCUUCCUUUGGACAGCAAGGGGCCCAAGCUUGGCAGGAAGGCCCGGGGAUCAGUUCACUUCCACAGGACCGAACCAAACCUCAACAGGACGCAUGGUGAAUGGGCCCAAAGUCCCAGCGUGGGUUUCGGGGGGAUCCGUGACAAGAAUUAGCGUGAGUCGUAGGGGCCGCGGGAGGACGCUCCCCUUAUCCAAAGCCCCGGGAGUGGAGAGAGCUGGCCAGCACCCAGAAGGCCUCAGCUGGUGGGUGCCCGGAGGCCCAGUGGCUUCCCAGCCGCGGCCCAAGAUCCCGGCUGCUCAAGUCUGGCAGUUUCGUCAUUCGGGAAAAGGGGGAAAAACCCACAGCUUGCCGGGCGCUUAGGUGCAAGUCCAAACUUCUGCCGGUGGCGUUGGAAGCCCUGCCCGUCCUCCUCGCCCUCCUUCUCUGCCAGGGCUUGGGUCAAACCGGUUCUCCCGGCCCUUCCUCUGCCCUCCCUGCGCCCCCCAGAAGGCCCCGGCGCUCAGCCACCCUUGAAGCCUCCGAGGAGAAGAGCCAGCCCGCCAGGACGGCGCUCCCCUGACUCGGCACUCGGCCCUCGGGCGCUCGGCUCUCGGCGCUCCUAGCUCCAUGUCAUCUUUUUUGCCCUCCCUGGUCCUUGGCACGUUGCUUGGCACACGGGGGGGACGCUUAACCCUUGCUCUUCGCUCCCCGCCUCCUCCGGCCGCAGCAUGCCCUCUCUGAGGGCAGGGACCGUUAUUUUGUGUCUUUGCCGGCAUCGCGCUGCACCUGGGAGACUCCGAGGGAGGGGGGCUGGCGCAGAGACCUCAGGUGGGAUCUCACCUGUUUCUUACCAGCGGGGUAACACGGGACAAGUCAGAAUCGCUUAAUAAUCGCAAGAGCCAUCCAGUGUAGCUCGGACCCAAAGGGAUCCCCAGGCUCUACCUGACAAAUAAAUGGUCCCUGAGUCUCCCCGCUCCCCCAUUGGAAGGAAGUUUCUCUUCCCAGGGAGCCGAGCCUCAGUUUUACAUCUGUAAAA